ACGCGCCUAUUAAAAAAAUCAAAAUUUUAAAUGUGCAACGACUCUUUUAGCCGAAUUUUUUCUUCCUUUCUUUUUCAACGACCUUGUUACCUUUUUUUUAAAUUUUUUUAUUAUUUUCUUUUUCUUCCUAUAUAAACCCCUCACUUCUCCCCAUUUCAUUCACCCCGUUCACUCUUUCUCUCUAUUUCUUCUUCAUUUCUUUCACCUCCACCAAAAAAUGGCUUCCUGGUUCGAUCAUUCUUUGUCUUCGUUCAAGGGGGAGAAGCAACCCGCCGGAUAGUGGUGGCAGGUAUCCGACAAAUAGCGGGUGGCGAAUACCUGCCGGAUAGCGGGUUCGC
This 338-nucleotide long non-coding RNA is filed under the name Salvia miltiorrhiza (redroot sage). RNAcentral's name for it is "long non-coding RNA (SMIL_LNC004031)". Lineage: Eukaryota; Viridiplantae; Streptophyta; Magnoliopsida; Lamiales; Lamiaceae. The record is from RNAcentral.